Molecule: ribosomal RNA, 402 nt
Filed under: uncultured Candidatus Solibacter sp.
Lineage: Bacteria; Pseudomonadati; Acidobacteriota; Terriglobia; Bryobacterales; Solibacteraceae
Description: bacterial SSU rRNA
Rfam family: Bacterial small subunit ribosomal RNA
Source: RNAcentral
UGGGGAAUCUUGCACAAUGGGGGAAACCCUGAUGCAGCGACGCCGCGUGAGCGAUGAAGCCCUUCGGGGUGUAAAGCUCUUUCGGCAGGGAAGAUUAUGACGGUACCUGCAGAAGCAGCUGCGGCUAACUACGUGCCAGCAGCCGCGGUAAUACGUAGGCAGCAAGCGUUGUUCGGAGUUACUGGGCGUAAAGGGUGUGUAGGCGGCCUGUUAAGUUCCGUGUGAAAUCUCCCGGCUCAACCGGGAGGGUGCGCGGAAAACUGGCGGGCUAGAGUGCGGGAUGGGAGAGUAGAAUUCCUGGUGUAGCGGUGAAAUGCGUAGAUAUCAGGAGGAAUACCGGUGGUGUAGACGGCUCUCUGGACCGCAACUGACGCUGAAACACGAAAGCGUGGGUAGCAAACA